GCUCCCGUGGCGCAAUUGGUAGACGCGAUCGCCUCAAAAGCGAUUUUUGUUUGUGGGUUCGACUCCCACCGGGAGUA
This 77-nucleotide transfer RNA is filed under the name Symploca sp. SIO2E9. RNAcentral describes it as "tRNA-Leu". It matches the Rfam family "tRNA". Rfam says of the family: Transfer RNA (tRNA) molecules are approximately 80 nucleotides in length. Their secondary structure includes four short double-helical elements and three loops (D, anti-codon, and T loops). Lineage: Bacteria; Bacillati; Cyanobacteriota; Cyanophyceae; Coleofasciculales; Coleofasciculaceae. The record is from RNAcentral.